Molecule: transfer RNA, 68 nt
Filed under: uncultured Phocaeicola sp.
Lineage: Bacteria; Pseudomonadati; Bacteroidota; Bacteroidia; Bacteroidales; Bacteroidaceae
Rfam family: tRNA
About the family: Transfer RNA (tRNA) molecules are approximately 80 nucleotides in length. Their secondary structure includes four short double-helical elements and three loops (D, anti-codon, and T loops). Further hydrogen bonds mediate the characteristic L-shaped molecular structure. tRNAs have two regions of fundamental functional importance: the anti-codon, which is responsible for specific mRNA codon recognition, and the 3' end, to which the tRNAs corresponding amino acid is attached (by aminoacyl-tRNA synthetases). tRNAs cope with the degeneracy of the genetic code in two manners: having more than one tRNA (with a specific anti-codon) for a particular amino acid; and 'wobble' base-pairing, i.e. permitting non-standard base-pairing at the 3rd anti-codon position.
Source: RNAcentral
CGAAAUAGCUCAGCUGGUAGAGCAACUCAUUCGUAAUGAGUAGGUCCCGGGUUCGAGUCCCGGUUUCG